Long non-coding RNA from Ictalurus punctatus (channel catfish), 3039 nucleotides. NCBI's taxonomy places the organism in Eukaryota, Metazoa, Chordata, Actinopteri, Siluriformes, Ictaluridae. The record is from Ensembl.
UUAAUAUGAAGUCUGUGUGUUGAACUAGUCCACUGUUCACUAAAGGAGACCCGAGUGUAGAACCGCACGUGGUAAUCGCAGUCCCGAGGCCGUCGCAGCGACCGUCGUCCCAGCGACCACGGCGAGAUAAAAAGGAAUUACUCCUCGUCAAAUUGUGUGCACUCGAAAAGAUAAGACAACGCAAACAAUAUUUACAACAACACAGAAAACAUCUCGAGACCGGACUCGAGUCCCGCAGCUCUAGAAGUCGAUAUCAAAAUAAAAUAGGAACGCCGUUAUCUUCACUGUCCAAAUGAACUAUGAAGACUAGUCGGGGCUGUGAAAAAAAUACAGCAAGGCAGACAGUCAAUAAAGCAACUACAUUUAUUUUGUAGGUGUGAAAAUAUUUCAGACAAGAUCAAACCGAUUCAAUGGUCAUCUGCACAAGGUGAUGGAAAAAAAGCUUUUUACCCCCCUAUGUUUUAACAGGCCACUGGCACUGAGUAGAGGUGUGUGCACGAUCGCCUUUAAAUUCCUAUUCCCGGGACCGUCCUGAAACACCUCCAGGUACUGUACUGAACUGACUCCAGGUACUGUACUGAACUGACUCCUGGUACUGUACUGAACUGACUCCUGGUACUGUACUGAAACACCUCCAGGUACUGUACUGAAACACCUCCAGGUACUGUACUGAACUGACUCCAGGUACUGUACUGAACUGACUCCUGGUACUGUACUGAAACACCUCCAGGUACUGUACUGAACUGACUCCAGGUACUGUACUGAAACACCUCCAGGUACUGUACUGAACUGACUCCAGGUACUGUACUGAAACACCUCCAGGUACUGUACUGAACUGACUCCAGGUACUGUACUGAACUGACUCCAGGUACUGUACUGAAACACCUCCAGGUACUGUACUGAACUGACUCCUGGUACUGUACUGAACUGACUCCUGGUACUGUACUGAAACACCUCCUGGAUGCUGCUGUAGACAUCCUCCUGCCAUCAUUAAACUAUAAGGCGUUUCUGUGACGUGCUGCGCUCCCAGUUAGAGGAGAUGACCCGUUGAGUGGUCUUAAUAAAACAAAACAAAACCUCUAAUACAAACGCAAGACUCUUCAUCGAUCUUCGUUUCCUUUUCUAAAACAUUUACAGCGUCUAGCAUUGAAGCGCUCACUGCAGACUCACCACCUCCGGGUAAUAUCCCCAGACCCCGAGCACUGGGGAAGAUCAGUGAAGGCCUCGUUCAUAAUUGAUGGUGGAACCAGAGGAGCUGUUUUUCAGGAUUAUUACGAGAGCCGAGUCCAUUCCCACGUGUGCGAAGAGAGAAAUUCACGGCUCAAAGUUUCAUUCAACAUUACACACACAUCUAAGAGCUGAACCAGGCCCUGGGGAGUGUUCUUUAUUGAAACGCUAAAGGCCUUGAGAAGAUUAUUUUGUGGACCAGGACAGGUGCAUCAAACGCCGAACAGAAUAAUAAUCGUCCUCCAGCAGGGUUGUGUCUAUAAAACAGCAGUGCCGCGUCGCAUCGCCAUUCUGCUCACCGUUGUCGCUGUAGCUGUUUAAAAAAGGACAAGUAACGCUCACGAUCAACGAGCGGAUAGAUUUUCUUUGACGUGACUCACAUGGAGCUUAAUUUGCAUUUAAACGUGUGUCGCGUGCCCUCGCUCGUCCCCUCGCGGAUGAACUAUUGAGCGUAAGGUACCGCGAGUUUAUAAUAGUGGCGAUAAGUACACAUAUCGUCGAGUUCACACUUUGUCAGACGAAGUUAAAAUACAACACGGAUUGGUUGAGCGGUUUCGGAAAAAAAAACAACAUAAAGAAACCUUCGAAGAAGCUGCGUUUAACGUAGAUCGCAGCGGAGUUACGAAAUGCAAGUUUACGCUAACUAUCGGCGACAAGACUGACCAUCACUGUGGGUAAAUAAAUCAAAACAAAUCUGCAGCAGUAAAACAUGAUUAGUCGUGUAGUCAAAUUGUGACGUCGCCGCGUACAUGGUCCGAAAAAGAGCGCAGAAAAGAAAAGAAAAGAGGGGAAAAGCCUGACCUACAGUUACCACACUCCCGAAGAUCGCUGUCUGGAAGAAAAGCCAUUCUAGCCAGAGCUGUUAUGAGAACUCUUCCGUAACAUGACCAAUCAAACGGGCUGCACUAUUUCUAGCUCCGCCCCCCACGUCCCUGUUCGGCUUUUCAGCACUUGAUUACAGUAGAUCUCACUAAACGAUGCAAAUAACAGUGAAGAGAGUUUUACCUUGUCAUGUCAUAGUAAUAUUUGUGAUACUUUUUAGUCUUUCUCAUCGGUGCGUAAAAUCUCCCUCGGGUAUAUUGUAUUUAACCAUAGUCUAAGGUACAUGGUGAAUUAUUUAAUGUUUCAUCUGAGCUUUUUUAGUAGCGACGUAACGAGUAUGAAUACACCGUUGGAGAAUGAGCAGGUAAUCGUGUUCUAAACUGAUACAAACACUCAGUACGUUUACAUGGACCACGAUAAUCCGAUAUUAAUCCGAUUGAGACGAUAUUCUGAUUGAGAAACUAGCAUGUGAACAGAGAUUACUGACGACCUUAAUCUGAUUAAAGUCACACUCGGAGUAAACACAGAUGGAAUUACGUCAUGUGGCGUAUUCCUGUUUUAUUCACGUUAUCGACGUGCGUUACAGACGCGUACACGCCUUAAUCACACUAUUAACGUCGUGCGAGAGUUUUCACCGUAUUGUGCGACAGGACACGUACACACACGGCAGCGCUCGAGCGUUUUACGGCGAACAAGAGAACGCGUCCCAAACCGCGUACUUACGCGCGGUGUAGUAGGCGAGAUGCAUGUAUUUAUGUAAGUACGCGGUUCGGGACGCAGCCCACGGCUUCAAUCGGUCGUCUGUUUGCACGUACAGCGCGACUAAUAAUCAACCGCACUUGAAGCUUUCAUAAAAAAAUUAUAAAUGAAACACCCGAAACUGUAUAUGGUACCAUAACGAAGAUGAACUGUAUGUCGAUAGGUGAAAUUCUGGAGGGAUGACGGACAUAUAUGUAUAUUUAAUAAUAAUAAUAAUAAUAAUAAUAAUAA